GUACAAUAAGCAAAAUAAGGGCGUAUGGGGGAUGCCUUGGCUCUCAGAGGCGAUGAAGGGCGUGAUAAGCUGCGAAAAGCUACGGGGAUCAGCACACAUGACUUGAUCCGUAGAUACCCGAAUGGGGCAACCCACUAUGUUGAAGACAUAGUACACCGAUAGGUGGGCAAACCCGCUGAACUGAAACAUCUAAGUAGGCGGAGGAGAAGAAAACAAAAGUGAUUCCGUAAGUAGUGGCGAGCGAACGCGGAUUAGCCCAAACCAAUGUUGUUACGGCAAUGUUGGGGUUGUAGGACCACGUUAUUUGUUGCGGAUAGAAUUAGAAUUUACUGGAAAGUAAAGCCAAAGAAGGUGAUAGCCCUGUAUAAGUAAUAGAAGAUAACGAUAGUGGUAUCCUGAGUAGGGCGGGACACGAGAAAUCCUGUCUGAAUUUGGCGGGACCAUCCGCUAAGGCUAAAUACUCCUGAGAGACCGAUAGUGAACCAGUACCGUGAGGGAAAGGUGAAAAGAACCGUGAAUAACGGAGUGAAAUAGAUCCUGAAACCAUACGCUUACAAGCGGUCGGAGCCCUUUCGUGGGGUGACGGCGUGCCUUUUGCAUAAUGAGCCUACGAGUUAACGUUGCUGGCAAGGUUAAGUGAUUAAGUCACGGAUCCGUAGCGAAAGCGAGUCUGAAUAGGGCGCUUUAGUCAGUAGUGUUAGACGCGAAACCGUGUGAUCUACCCAUGGACAGGAUGAAGCUGUGGUAACACAUAGUGGAGGUCCGAACCCGUUGACGUUGAAAAGUCUUGGGAUGAUCUGUGGGUAGGGGUGAAAGGCCAAUCAAACUCGGAAAUAGCUCGUACUCCCCGAAAUGCAUUUAGGUGCAGCGUUAUGGUUAAAGUUAUAUAGAGGUAGAGCUACUGAUUGGAUGCGGGGGCUUCACCGCCUACCAAUUCCUGACAAACUCCGAAUGCUAUAUAAUGUUUCAUAACAGUGAGGGCUUGGGUGCUAAGGUCCAAGUCCGAGAGGGAAAGAACCCAGACCAUCAGCUAAGGUCCCCAAAUAUAUACUAAGUUGAAAGAACGAGGUCUGUCUGCAUCGACAGCUAGGAUGUUGGCUUGGAAGCAGCCAUUCAUUUAAAGAGUGCGUAACAGCUCACUAGUCGAGCGGACGGGCAUGGAUAAUAAUCGGGCAUAAGUAUAUUACCGAAGCUAUGGAUUUAGAGAUUACUCUAAGUGGUAGGGGAGCAUUCUAACAGGGUAGAAGGUGAGUCGUAAGGCUUGCUGGACUGGUUAGAAAAGAAAAUGUAGGCAUAAGUAACGAUAAUGCGGGCGAGAAACCCGCACACCGAAAAACUAAGGUUUCCACAGCUAUGCUAAUCAGCUGUGGGUUAGUCUGGUCCUAAGGCGAACCCGAAAGGGACAGUCGAUGGCCAACGGGUUAAUAUUCCCGUACUACUAUUAAUUGUGAUGGGGUGACGGAGUGAUGAAAGCGCCGCGAACUGACGGAAUAGUUCGUUGAAGUACCUACCUAUAAGAACCGCAGGCAAAUCCACGGUUUUUGGGGAAAUACGAUAGUACUCGGAGCCUUCGGGCAAAGAGAUAGUGCGCCUAAGGGCUUCCAAGAAAAACCUCUAAACUUCAGAUUAAUAGUACCAGUACCGUAAACCGACACAGGUAGUUGAGGAGAGAAUCCUAAGGUGCUCGAGAGAUUCAUGGCUAAGGAAUUAGGCAAAAUAGACCCGUAACUUCGGGAGAAGGGUCGCCAGCAGCAAUGCUGGCCGCAGUGAAGAGGUCCAGGCGACUGUUUAUCAAAAACACAGGGCUCUGCAAAAUCGUAAGAUGAAGUAUAGGGCCUGACACCUGCCCGGUGCUGGAAGGUUAAGUGGAGAUGUUAUGGGUAACCAGAAGCAUUGAAAUGAAGCCCCAGUAAACGGCGGCCGUAACUAUAACGGUCCUAAGGUAGCGAAAUUCCUUGUCGGGUAAGUUCCGACCUGCACGAAUGGUGUAACGAUCUGGACACUGUCUCAGCCAUGAGCUCGGUGAAAUUGUAGUAACGGUGAAGAUGCCGUUUACCCGCAGUGGGACGAAAAGACCCUGUGCACCUUUACUAUAGCUUAGUAUUGACCUUGGAUAAAUGAUGUGUAGGAUAGGUUGGAGACUGUGAAGUGGCGUCGCUAGGCGUUGUGGAGUCAUUGUUGAAAUACAACCCUUUGUUUAUCUGAGGCCUAACCCCGCAUAAGUGGGGGACAUUGCUUGGUGGGUAGUUUGACUGGGGUGGUCGCCUCCAAAAGAGUAACGGAGGCUUCUAAAGGUUCCCUCAGCACGCUUGGUAACCGUGCGUAGAGUGCAAUGG
This 2336-nucleotide ribosomal RNA is filed under the name Flavobacterium psychrophilum. RNAcentral describes it as "bacterial LSU rRNA". It matches the Rfam family "Bacterial large subunit ribosomal RNA", at positions 1 to 2357 of the family's 2925-position model. Lineage: Bacteria; Pseudomonadati; Bacteroidota; Flavobacteriia; Flavobacteriales; Flavobacteriaceae. The record is from RNAcentral.